UACGUAGGGUGCAAGCGUUGUCCGGAAUUAUUGGGCGUAAAGAGCUCGUAGGCGGUUUGUCGCGUCUGCUGUGAAAACUCGGGGCUUAACUCCGGGCCUGCAGUGGGUACGGGCAGACUAGAGUGCGGUAGGGGAGACUGGAAUUCCUGGUGUAGCGGUGAAAUGCGCAGAUAUCAGGAGGAACACCGGUGGCGAAGGCGGGUCUCUGGGCUGUAACUGACGCUGAGGAGCGAAAGCGUGGGGAGCGAACAGG
RNAcentral lists this ribosomal RNA (253 nucleotides) under uncultured bacterium. Its description in RNAcentral is "partial 16S ribosomal RNA". It matches the Rfam family "Bacterial small subunit ribosomal RNA", at positions 524 to 776 of the family's 1533-position model. The record is from RNAcentral.